This 253-nucleotide ribosomal RNA is filed under the name uncultured bacterium. RNAcentral's name for it is "partial 16S ribosomal RNA". It matches the Rfam family "Bacterial small subunit ribosomal RNA", at positions 524 to 776 of the family's 1533-position model. The record is from RNAcentral.
UACGGGGGGGGCAAGCGUUGUUCGGAAUUACUGGGCGUAAAGGGCUCGUAGGCGGCCAACUAAGUCCGACGUGAAAUCCCAAGGCUUAACCUUGGGACUGCGUCGGAUACUGGAUGGCUUGAAUUCGGGAGAGGGAUGCAGAAUUCCAGGUGUAGCGGUGAAAUGCGUAGAUAUCUGGAGGAAUACCGGUGGCGAAGGCGGCAUCCUGGACCGACAUUGACGCUGAUGAGCGAAAGCUAGGGGAGCAAACGGG